CAGAAGGGGGGCAGAAGUGGGGAAUAUUGGACAAUGGGGGGAACCCUGAUCCAGCCAUGCCGCGUGUGUGAAGAAGGCCCUCGGGUUGUAAAGCACUUUCAGUGAGGAAGAACGCCUGGUGGUUAAUACCCAUCAGGAAAGACAUCACUCACAGAAGAAGCACCGGCUAACUCCGUGCCAGCAGCCGCGGUAAUACGGAGGGUGCGAGCGUUAAUCGGAAUUACUGGGCGUAAAGCGCGCGUAGGUGGCUUGAUAAGCCGGUUGUGAAAGCCCCGGGCUCAACCUGGGAACGGCAUCCGGAACUGUCAAGCUAGAGUGCAGGCGAGGAAGGUAGAAUUCCCGGUGUAGCGGUGAAAUGCGUAGAGAUCGGGAGGAAUACCAGUGGCGAAGGCGGCCUUCUGGACUGACACUGACACUGAGGUGCGAAAGCGUGGGUAGCAAACAGGAUUAGAUACCCUGGUAGUC
Molecule: ribosomal RNA, 465 nt
Filed under: Vreelandella stevensii
Lineage: Bacteria; Pseudomonadati; Pseudomonadota; Gammaproteobacteria; Oceanospirillales; Halomonadaceae
Description: partial 16S ribosomal RNA
Rfam family: Bacterial small subunit ribosomal RNA
Source: RNAcentral